AAAAGCUUGCUCUGAUGAUAUUUUUGGUAGGAAUCUCCUUGAGCUUCAGUCAUGCGUUGCUAUGAUAUCAACUUAAAUCCUUUACUGAUAAUUAAAUUUAA
Molecule: small nucleolar RNA, 101 nt
Organism: Drosophila elegans
Lineage: Eukaryota; Metazoa; Arthropoda; Insecta; Diptera; Drosophilidae
Product: small nucleolar RNA Me28S-Am2634
Exons: 1
Source: RefSeq, a predicted model, not a curated record